This is a long non-coding RNA of Glossina fuscipes, 1099 nucleotides long. RefSeq lists it as uncharacterized. Lineage: Eukaryota; Metazoa; Arthropoda; Insecta; Diptera; Glossinidae. The transcript has 6 exons. The record is from RefSeq and is a predicted model, not a curated record.
UAAAAAUUCAUAUAUAUAUAUAUAUAUAUAUGUAAAUGUAAGUACGUUUGUUGGAACAUCAAUUAAAAGUGAAUUUAAUGUCUUAUUAAAUGUGUGAACUGUUAACUGAUAACUGACAUUUAACUACCGGCAUUGACGCACACACAAAAGUGCAGCGCUCUUGUUACCUGAGCUGAAGCACGUACGACCAUCGUUAUUCUCGAUCUAAUCGAUGAAAUGCUUCAAGUGGAAGAUGAUAUGGACUUAUUGAGCUGAUAAAACCAAAGUUACGCUACUCUAUGUCUACUCAACAGAGCAAUGAAUAAAGAUUCUUCUUCUGCCGGCGCUCUUCCCGACAUCCAUUACAAAAAUGCUUGGCGAAGUCAACAAGCACAUUAAAAGUAUCCAGACUUUGCUGUGAAUUUUGCUGAAGAUUGUUACAAAGCGGCGGCGACUGAUGGAGGCUGGAUGGAAGCAAGUAGAAUGAUUGAAAAUUCUUAUACACUGCUUAUCAUCAUCAAUGCGAAGAUGGCAAAUUUUUCUUUCGCAUUACACAGCCAUCAUCGUCAUCAGUAUCAUCAUCAUCACCAUCAUCAUCAUCACUAUUAUCAUUGUUUUAACGUGUGUUAACCAAAAAGCAGGAUUAAAAGUAAUUGCGUUAUGUUGUAACUAUUUAAGAACAACAUCUAGAUUGCGGAACGUUCAUCAAUAAAAUAAAGCCGAAGUGAAAAAGUUACAUAUUAGGAUGGCCAGGAACGAAAUUCAUUUACAGGAAGAGAGAGAGAGGGAGAGGCCUAAUGAGAUUAAUUGAAAUGUUAAUGGAUUUGUAAUUUCUAUAAAAUACAACCAUGAGCAUCAAUUUCUGCCCAGAAUCCUGCAUGCAUACGUCAUACAACAUAAAAAUAUGGGAACAUAAAACAUGUACAUUGCAGCAGUGGUUCUUCUUGGACAAGUAGAUGGGACAACAACCUUAACGACAAUUAUGGUAAAACUUGGUAGCACUGCGGUCAUAACAUAGAGACAUCUAACAGUGCCGGGAAGAACUUCGAAAAGGAUGUUUUUCUUUUCUUUUUUUGUUUAUCUUCACGUCACACAUGGACUGGUUUCUUGUCUCACGCUA